Girardinichthys multiradiatus is the source of this 1238-nucleotide long non-coding RNA. RefSeq lists it as uncharacterized. Lineage: Eukaryota; Metazoa; Chordata; Actinopteri; Cyprinodontiformes; Goodeidae. The record is from RefSeq and is a predicted model, not a curated record. The transcript is spliced from 4 exons.
CCUGGUAAAAACUCUAAAUCUCAGAAUGCACAGUAUUAUGACUUUUCAAGAAAAACCCCUGGGAAGGAAUAGUCACAGGUGAAAACUCCCAGACUCCCAUGACACUUUAAUGUCAUGGGAGUCUGGGAGUUCCAUGUAUUGUUUAUUGCCUGCUGCUAACACUUACUCACCACUAGAUGCCGCCAAGAGCCUCCGGUGCCGAGGGUAGCGGGUGUUACCAAUUACCAUCAGCUGGAGGAGAAUAAGAAGAUGAAGCUGUCAGCACUCCAGUGCCUGAGUGUUUCCCUUUGUGGUAACUUUCAAGUCCUGGUCUCAAGCUCCUGCUACUUUCUAGUUCUGGCUCCAAGGUUCUGUUUGAAUCCUGCCUCAGUCAAAGAACUCAAGCCUCCAAGAAACCUUUGUGGAUCAAGUUCCAGCUGACAGCUCAAAUCCUUCAUCUCCUAAAUCUUCAGGCAAGUGAACCCUGCUCACCCUCGACCAAGAACACCACAAGAACUCUCAACCAAGCCUCAAGAAGCUCCACCUGGUGUGCUCCUUCGCAUGUGAACUUGUGAAUGGGACUUGUGAAUUGGAUCCAUAACCAAAUCUGUAAUAAUAAAUCUUUUCAAUUUUUCUCCUGUGUGUGGAUGUCUGACUUCGCUGGCCGAGUUAGACUACUUCUUCAAAGAACCUUUGAACCCAAAAACUUUAGUAGGGUCUGUUGUGCAUCUGACGACUGUAUCCCAACCGGAAAUAAGACCAUUACAUUUCUGUCUGAGCUUCUGCAGAAAAAGAAUCUGAACCAUCUCUAAUUAGAUGACAAAGUGCCUUCCCCUUCAUUGCCAUUGGGAGAAGAAGGCAUAGGACCCACAUCAUCGCAUGCCUUCCUGUGUGAGUCUGAGGCCAGUCCGAGGAGCAGAUUUUCACCCCAGGCAGCUGAAAAGAGAGCCACCACCCGCCAAGCAAGCCCCUCGGACUUCCUGUCCUCCUCUUCACCCGGAUUAUUAAGUUGUGAACGUGAUCUCAUUGACAGUACACUGGUGGAGAAACUUGGAAUCAGAGCCGAGGCCUUAGACGGGAAGGAACUGCCUCACAUAACACAUCGCACUGAACAUUUGCAACUUGUGCUCUCAGUCCGCUGUUCCCCCAACCUCCACACCGACAUCGCCUGAGGAGACUGAAUCCACUAACCAUUUGGAGGUUCCACCUGAGUAUCAUGAUCCACGCCAAGUGUUCAGUAAACAGCAAGCCCUUUCUCU